This 403-nucleotide ribosomal RNA is filed under the name bacterium. RNAcentral describes it as "partial 16S ribosomal RNA". It matches the Rfam family "Bacterial small subunit ribosomal RNA", at positions 355 to 776 of the family's 1533-position model. The record is from RNAcentral.
UGGGGAAUAUUGCACAAUGGAGGGAACUCUGAUGCAGCGACGCCGCGUGAACGAAGAAGGCUUGCGAGUCGUAAAGUUCUUUUAUAUGGGAAGAUAAUGACGGUACCAUAAGAAGAAGCCCCGGCUAACUACGUGCCAGCAGCCGCGGUAAUACGUAGGGGGCUAGCGUUGUCCGGAAUCACUGGGCGUAAAGGGUUCGCAGGCGGAAAUGCAAGUCAGGUGUAAAAGGCAGUAGCUUAACUACUGUAAGCAUUUGAAACUGCAUAUCUUGAGAAGAGUAGAGGUAAGUGGGAUUUUUAGUGUAGCGGUGAAAUGCGUAGAUAUUAAAAAGAAUACCGGUGGCGAAAGCGACUUACUGGGAUCAUUCUGCCGCUGAGGAACGAAAGCGUGGGUAGCAAACAGG